GAUGAACGCUGGCGGCGUGCCUAAUACAUGCAAGUCGAGCGAACAGACGAGGAGCUUGCUCCUUCGACGUUAGCGGCGGACGGGUGAGUAACACGUAGGUAACCUACCUAUAAGACUGGGAUAACUUCGGGAAACCGGAGCUAAUACCGGAUAAUAUUUCGAACCGCAUGGUUCUAUAGUGAAAGAUGGCUUUGCUAUCACUUAUAGAUGGACCUGCGCCGUAUUAGCUAGUUGGUAAGGUAACGGCUUACCAAGGCAACGAUACGUAGCCGACCUGAGAGGGUGAUCGGCCACACUGGAACUGAGACACGGUCCAGACUCCUACGGGAGGCAGCAGUAGGGAAUCUUCCGCAAUGGGCGAAAGCCUGACGGAGCAACGCCGCGUGAGUGAUGAAGGUCUUCGGAUCGUAAAACUCUGUUAUUAGGGAAGAACAAACGUGUAAGUAACUGUGCACGUCUUGACGGUACCUAAUCAGAAAGCCACGGCUAACUACGUG
Molecule: ribosomal RNA, 497 nt
Filed under: uncultured bacterium
Lineage: Bacteria
Description: partial 16S ribosomal RNA
Rfam family: Bacterial small subunit ribosomal RNA
Source: RNAcentral